CACACACAUCCGGGGAGUCCCAGGCAGGGGGCUGAGAUUGCGCUGACGCCGCGCUGACCCGACGACCUGAUCCGGUUCAUACCGGCGGAGGGAGCAUCAUGGAACGGCAC
Molecule: non-coding RNA, 110 nt
Filed under: Patulibacter medicamentivorans
Lineage: Bacteria; Bacillati; Actinomycetota; Thermoleophilia; Solirubrobacterales; Patulibacteraceae
Description: TPP sequence
Rfam family: TPP riboswitch aptamer (THI element)
About the family: Vitamin B(1) in its active form thiamin pyrophosphate (TPP) is an essential coenzyme that is synthesised by coupling of pyrimidine and thiazole moieties in bacteria. The previously detected thiamin-regulatory element, thi box was extended, resulting in a new, highly conserved RNA secondary structure, the THI element, which is widely distributed in eubacteria and also occurs in some archaea.
Source: Rfam by way of RNAcentral